CCCCCCCCGACAUAUUUUCCGUAUGCAAAGUGACCUCAAUGUGACCCAUCUCGUAAAAAUCCGGUGAUCGCAAUACGCAUGGAUGUCCUUAAAAUAAACUAUUGUCUGAAUUUACAUGUUAAACACGUGCUCAAUUUCCAUGCUUUUUUGUUGAUUUUUUGUUGAUUGUUGACAAACAGGUGACAAUCGUUAAAAUUCGGCUUCAAAACACGAACUUUAAUUACCUGUCAUAUUUUCACAACAAC
Molecule: long non-coding RNA, 245 nt
Filed under: Mytilus galloprovincialis (Mediterranean mussel)
Lineage: Eukaryota; Metazoa; Mollusca; Bivalvia; Mytilida; Mytilidae
Source: RNAcentral